GCAGUAGCCGCGGUAAUACAGAGGGUGCGAGCGUUAAUCGGAUUUACUGGGCGUAAAGCGUGCGUAGGCGGCUUUUUAAGUCGGAUGUGAAAUCCCUGAGCUUAACUUAGGAAUUGCAUUCGAUACUGGGAAGUUAGAGUAUGGGAGAGGAUGGUAGAAUUCCAGGUGUAGCGGUGAAAUGCGUAGAGAUCUGGAGGAAUACCGAUGGCGAAGGCAGCCAUCUGGCCUAAUACUGACGCUGAGGUACGAAAGCAUGGGGAGCAAACAGGAUUAGAUACCCCAGUAGUCCCUGUCUCUUAUAC
RNAcentral lists this ribosomal RNA (302 nucleotides) under uncultured bacterium. RNAcentral's name for it is "partial 16S ribosomal RNA". It matches the Rfam family "Bacterial small subunit ribosomal RNA", at positions 508 to 807 of the family's 1533-position model. The record is from RNAcentral.